This 460-nucleotide ribosomal RNA is filed under the name uncultured bacterium. Its description in RNAcentral is "partial 16S ribosomal RNA". It matches the Rfam family "Bacterial small subunit ribosomal RNA", at positions 338 to 795 of the family's 1533-position model. The record is from RNAcentral.
CCUACGGGGGGCAGCAGUGAGGAAUAUUGGCCAAUGGACGAGAGUCUGAACCAGCCAAGUAGCGUGAAGGAUGACUGCCCUAUGGGUUGUAAACUUCUUUUAUAUGGGAAUAAAAUGUUCCACGUGUGGGAUUUUGUAUGUACCAUAUGAAUAAGGAUCGGCUAACUCCGUGCCAGCAGCCGCGGUAAUACGGAGGAUCCGAGCGUUAUCCGGAUUUAUUGGGUUUAAAGGGAGCGUAGGUGGAUUGUUAAGUCAGUUGUGAAAGUUUGCGGCUCAACCGUAAAAUUGCAGUUGAAACUGGCAGUCUUGAGUACAGUAGAGGUGGGCGGAAUUCGUGGUGUAGCGGUGAAAUGCUUAGAUAUCACGAAGAACUCCGAUUGCGAAGGCAGUUCACUGGACUGCAACUGACACUGAGGCUCGAAAGUGUGGGUAUCAAACAGGAUUAGAUACCCUUGUAGUC